UGUAAAUACAACCUGUUCUGUCCUGUCUAGGUACUGUAAAUACAACCUGUUCUGUCCUAUGUCCUGUCUAGGUACUGUAAAUACAACCUGUUCUGUCCUGUCUAGGUACUGUAAAUACAACCUGUUCUGUCCUGUCUAGGUACUGUAAAUACAACCUGUUCUGUCCUGUCUAGGUACUGUAAAUACAACCUGUUCUGUCCUGUCUAGGUACUGUAAAUACAACCUGGUCUGUCCUGUCUAGGUACUGUAAAUACAAACUGUUCUGUCCUGUCUAGGUACUGUAAAUAAAACCUGUCCUGUCUAGUUACUGUAAAUACAGCCUGUUCUGUCCUGUCUAGGUACUGUAAAUACAGCCUGUUCUGUCCUGUCUAGGUACUGUAAAUACAACCUGUCCUGUCUAGGUACUGUAAAUACAGCCUGUCCUGUCUAGGUACUCCUGUUCUGUCCUAUCUAGGUACUGUAAAUACAACCUGUCCUGUCUAGGUACUGUAAAUACAACCUGUCCUGUCUAGGUACUGUAAAUACAACCUGUUCUGUCCUGUCUAGGUACUAUAAAUACAACCUGUCCUGUCUAGGUACUGUAAAUACAGCCUGUUAUGUCCUGUCUAGGUACUGUAAAUACAACCUGUCCUGUCUAGGUACUGUAAAUCCAGCCUGUUCUGUCCUGUCUAGGUACUCCUGUCCUGUCUAGGUACUGUAAAUACAGCCUGUCCUGUCUAGGUACUUUAAAUACAACCUGUCCUGUCUAUGCACUGUAAAUACAACCUGUCCUGUCUAGGUACUGUAAAUACAGCCUGUCCUGUCUAGGUACUGUAAAUACAGCCUGGUCUGUCCUGUCUAGGUACUGUAAAUACAACCUUGUCUGUCCUGUCUAGGUACUGUAAAUACAGCCUGUCCUGUCUAGGUACUGUAAAUACAACCUGUCCUGUCUAGGUACUGUAAAUACAGCCUGUCCUGUCUAGGCACUGUAAAUACAACCUGUCCUGUCUAGGUACUGUAAAUACAACCUGUCCUGUCUAUGCACUGUAAAUACAACCUGUUCCGUUUCUUCUCUAGUUGGGGAAGCAAAUGCACUACGUGACAAACUCCUAAAUAUGUUAUCUGUGU
This is a long non-coding RNA of Oncorhynchus keta (chum salmon), 1107 nucleotides long. RefSeq lists it as uncharacterized. The transcript is spliced from 4 exons. The record is from RefSeq and is a predicted model, not a curated record. NCBI's taxonomy places the organism in Eukaryota, Metazoa, Chordata, Actinopteri, Salmoniformes, Salmonidae.